UUGGUUCAAGGAAGACUUUAAGAAAGAGUGUUUCUGCAGCUUUCUCAUCCUGAAUCAGCCUGUUUUCAAGUAUUUUCAGAAUAGAACAGCAAGGACAUUGGUUUUACUUCUGCAUUUGAAGAAUGGACCUGCACAGGGAACCAACUCUGAAGCAGCCUUUCUUUCCAAGAUGCUCAGGGAGGGAAUUACGAUUGCACUGUCGUCCUGGGCGACCUGCAGGCAGCACACGGGAGAUGCACGUGGCCCUGGUCAUGCAGUCGCCUGGUGUCCUUGUUGACACCGUGUCACGGUCCUUCCGGAAGGGUGGCUCCACAUGGAAGGCUGUGCUGCUUCGUGGAGCCCAACCCGGGCACGCCCCCCCCCCCCGACCCCCAUCGCCUCUGGGACCUCCUCUGAGAAAGGGCAAGACCAUGAUGUGCCACCCGGAGUCUUCUGCUGCCACAGCCUGUGUGCCUGCAUGCAGCCUGUGUGCAAUCUGUGUGCAGCCUGUGUGCUGGAGCAGCGGCUGGUGAUUAGAAGUCCUGGCUAUUUUCUGGGGUCAACAGCAGAUCCAAGAUCAUCUCAGCAACUCUCUGCCUGAAAACAAGCUCUGGGAGGGCACCGCCCAGGUCACCUCCGGCUUCUGGAGCAACGGUGCUGGAAGGGCUCAACCCCCGGACCCAGGCUUCGGGAUCCAUUAAAACGUGAAGUCACCUGCGCCCUGAGCAGGCACUGUCGGAGGAGAGUGCCUUGGCCAUGGCCCCCAGCAGACACCCCGCCAGGCUCUUCCAGCUCCGCUCAUGAGGAUGAGCACUGGCAGGGAACCAGGAUGGCUCUGGGCUGGAAUUGAGGGGCCUUGAUGUGAAAUCCCAGGGAUGGAUCCGGGAGGGGAGAGUCGCUUUCCUGUGGCCCGAGUCUGUCUUGUGACAGUGGCUCAGCUGAGUGUGCAGGACCCGCUCCCUCCCUCCCAGUGCCUGGAGUGGGUGGGGGCGUGGGGUGUCACCUGCUUCUUGGGUCCUCACCCUGCACAGGACCUGGAGCAUGUGUCUAUCUCUUUAGGGAAAGUUCAAAGCCAAACAGAGUUGUUUCCUCUGCUGCCCGCGUGCACUCUCUGGGGACCUAAUCACAGCGCCCCUGCCCCAAGCGUCCACCAUCAUUCCUCAAACACUCUUUCCGGCUCCAGCUUUCUACCUGCUCCACAGUCUGAAUCUUGGCGAUUUGGAGUUUGCAACGAAGGUGAGGAGAUGGGAGGCCUGUGUGCAGGCAUGUGCGUGCAUGUGUGUGUGUGUACACUGCGUGUGCGUGCAUGCACGUGUGUGUGCCUGCCCACAUACCACCUUCCACACAGCUCUGGAAACCAGGUUAGAAAAGGUUUUCUUUGAAUGUCUGGAGGGUGGGGACAGGAGGACGAAAGACCAGCUUCCACACCAGCUGUGGCAGGAGUGGCCCUUGGGUCAGGCUCGUGGGACCAGGCCUCCCUGAGCAGGGGACACUCAUGCCCAAGGGGAGAGCAGGGCCCUUCACUCCCGCCAUUAGCUCUCCAGGUGCGGCCGCCACCUGCUGGCUUCUGAAAGGUCAGACGCGGGUGGGGACAUGCCAAUGUCCAGUGAGCGGCUGGAGGCAGAUUCCCAGGGGCUCCUCUGCUCCCGCCUGGUUACCUGGCUCUGUGGGUGUGAUAUGUUCUCCAGAUUCUGCAGACUCCCUGGCCGAGUGCGGGAAGACACCCUUCCCGAGGCAGCCACGCGGUUUCUGAACCUUGGGGACAGGCGAGCACAAGUUCAGUCCCCCAAGACUUGGUCCCCAGCCUCCCCAGGGCAGGAAAGCACCUUCCUGCUAGGGGUGGGAGCUGCUGUCCAUGCCCUCCUGAGCUGCGUACUCUCGGCUCUCUGGGGACACCACAUGGUGGUGCAGGGUGGCCUCAUGCAGUGACCAGGGUGGAGCUGGCCUGCGGGUUCCAUCUCCCGGGGGCUCUGCCGGGGCCCAUCACAGCCCUUUCCAGGCCCCGAGUCCUUCUAGACCAGAGGCAGGGGUGUCGCACAUGUGUGGCUAUUUGCCUCCAAGUCACUCAACACCGAGUCAAACCAACACUAAGGGUCCUGGACACAUGGGCUGCAUUUCAACUAGCGGGUGCCAUGCAGGACAGCACAGGGCCCAGCCCCCAGAUGCUCAGAGAGGCCAAAGGCCCCUGCCACGUGGGUCAGAGCCUACGCCCAAGGUUGCCGUGACAUGGGCUGCCCGGCUAGGGCCCCCAUGGGGCUGGACCCCCCUCCUUUGUGCAAAGGACAGACUGUACCUCUGAACCUCUUUUAUCUUCUCCACUGAGCACCUGCGAGAUAACCCGAGCCGAGCAGAUGUUUGCAAAGUGGGGAAAGUGAAGACAAGGAAAUUUUGUGCAGGGGGUGGAGCUGCAGAGGCAGGGAAGGUGGGCCCCAGCCUCCCCCGACCUGCGAGACCAGUGUGGACAAAAGGCUGGGUGGGGUGUGGCUGAUAAAAGUUUGAGGGCAGAGGCAGGUCCUGCCUCACCUGGGGGCACCUCAGGACAGACGUCCCCUGGAACCCCCUGGACUCAUCUUCCUACGAGAAGUACUUAGGGAACUUUCCCCCAGUCAUAAUUAGUGAAGGCCCUUCCCAGUCUACGCUGGGGACACAUGGAGCUUGUGGUACAUCUUAGGAGGGAGGAGGCGCAGGGAGAAAACAGAAAUGCCUUAAAUCCAGGGUUCAGUGACCGUCAGCCAACUGGGCCCGAUGCUGUGGUCUAACUGCCUUGAGUUCUUAACAGACAUACUUUUGAGAUAUAAGUGAUUUGGGAGCAGGGGAUCCAAAUCCUUCAUCUGAAGAGAGUCUUGUAAUUUCCUUCAAAUGGAUACAACCAGCUGUACGUGAAGGUAUUUUAGUUCCUGGGAGAGUCUGGGUCCUGGUUUUGGUUUACACAACAUGAAAAAGAAGUCUAGUGUUUAAAUACCAUGUCUCUGAAAUCAACAGGAAACUUUAACAGGAAACUUAACUUUCCCUGAGACGUAUUCACAGGGAGUACAUCGGUGGGGGUGUGUGGAAAUAUAUAUAUUUAUGUAUCUUUAGAUAUAUUUAUUGUCUCUCUGUUUUUCUCCUGUGAUCGUUCAUCCAUUAUUGCACGAGGAACAUAAAUGAACUGUUUGACGGACCCCAGACCCCGAAGGAACUGCACUGGAUGCUGAGUAAGCCCAGGAGUUCAGGCAGCAUCCCCCCUGCUGUAGGUCUUUGUGUCAGAAGCUUACCUGGAAAAGAGCAAUUCUCAGAAUUUGGUAAAUCCGAAGAAUCGCAAAGGCACACAGCCCAGCUGCAGUCUCACUCAAUCAGAAACCCAGACUGGGACCUGUCUUUUUUUCCGGUUUCCAGAAGAUUCUGGUCACUAGUGGAUUUUAGGAACCACUGCUGUCUGUGGUCAGGCAAACUGAAGAAGGAGGCUUCAGGUAUAUUUGAAAGGAAACCACGAUCUACUCUUAAUGCUCAGAGGCGGCUGGAACUGUCAGCAUUAUCCUACCACCCAGGGCAUGAUGACAUGGUCACACUCCUCCUCCUGGGCUCCUGAAUCCACGGGUGACACACAAGACAGGCAGGUGUCCACCUUGUGCUCCAGGCCACUCCCUCACCCUGGACAGAAGCCACAUGCAAGGGGCUGGGGUCCCACCUGUCCCGCCUACGCUGGCUUGAGCCCAGAUGAGAGGUGACUGUGUCUCCUGGGUGGACAGUCCAGGGCAGCUGUGCUGUUUUGCGUCCCUGCUCUGGGAAGCCAGGGCCCCCGUGACUGUGUAAGGUCUCCGGGUGGUUUAGGCACUCAGUUCCAGCAGAGUGGCAGCAGAGCUAGUGGAGGGUCUGGAAGGCUCUGUGGCUAUGGGGCUGGGGAAGGAAAGCUGGCUGUCACCCCCAGUCCCUCCCAGAAGCCGGUUGCAGUGAGGUGCACGGUGCUUGGCCCCAGAGGGGCAUUGGAGCCUGGACGCCAACUGGCCUGCGUGUCCCUGCCACCUGGCUGCGAGCUCAGGUCCCAGGUUUUGGGAAGACGCCCCCAGGCUCUGUUCAGACCUGCAAGGCCCUGGGCACAUGCCAGAUGGACCAAGGGCAGGCUCAGCCCAACCUGGAGACGCUUCGUGCCAUGGACAGGAUGCCUGGGCCUCAGGCUUUCAUCCUUUUCCAUGGUCAGGGCCUAGAUUUCUGAGGUCAUGUUGGCGACAGCCUCACAGGGCUGCCCGGAUGCCUGGUGGGAUGGCUGACCCGAGGGCGAGCUGCCUCCGGUCAUUCCUCAGCCUGUGUUUGGCUGUUGUCCCCUUUCCUGCGCCUGCGCUCUGUGACUCAGGGUCAGUGGUCAACUUAAUGACUCGGACUCGCCUUGAACUUGGGGCCAGAGAGCCUGGUCCUGAGGGCAGUGCUGUGACCCUGAGGAGCCGUUAAGAGGCCUGAACUGAAGUUUGUGUGUAACCUUGCACGUUACCUUCAAAAUGAGGGCUCCGGGGUGAAGGGAGCAGUGGGUCCCUGGUGGUCGUGGCUGCCCUGACUGGACUCGCGGUCCUGCGUUAUCUAAAGAGCAUCGUGUCUGCUAGGAGGCUCUUGCUGAUGGUCAAACAGAAAUGCUUAAGCAAAGAGAUGCUUAAUAAUAUUAACCAGUUGAUCAAUAUUAAUUAAGAAUAUUGAUAAUAAAUAAAUACUAAGUAAUAA
Molecule: long non-coding RNA, 4668 nt
Organism: Phacochoerus africanus (Common warthog)
Lineage: Eukaryota; Metazoa; Chordata; Mammalia; Artiodactyla; Suidae
Exons: 5
Source: RefSeq, a predicted model, not a curated record